RNAcentral lists this ribosomal RNA (465 nucleotides) under Vreelandella stevensii. RNAcentral describes it as "partial 16S ribosomal RNA". It matches the Rfam family "Bacterial small subunit ribosomal RNA", at positions 338 to 795 of the family's 1533-position model. Lineage: Bacteria; Pseudomonadati; Pseudomonadota; Gammaproteobacteria; Oceanospirillales; Halomonadaceae. The record is from RNAcentral.
CCUACGGGCGGCUGCAGUGGGGAAUAUUGGACAAUGGGGGCAACCCUGAUCCAGCCAUGCCGCGUGUGUGAAGAAGGCCCUCGGGUUGUAAAGCACUUUCAGUGAGGAAGAACGCCUGGUGGUUAAUACCCAUCAGGAAAGACAUCACUCACAGAAGAAGCACCGGCUAACUCCGUGCCAGCGGCCGCGGUAAUACGGAGGGUGCGAGCGUUAAUCGGAAUUACUGGGCGUAAAGCGCGCGUAGGUGGCUUGAUAAGCCGGUUGUGAAAGCCCCGGGCUCAACCUGGGAACGGCAUCCGGAACUGUCAAGCUAGAGUGCAGGAGAGGAAGGUAGAAUUCCCGGUGUAGCGGUGAAAUGCGUAGAGAUCGGGAGGAAUACCAGUGGCGAAGGCGGCCUUCUGGACUGACACUGACACUGAGGUGCGAAAGCGUGGGUAGCAAACAGGAUUAGAUACCCUUGUAGUC